UGGGGAAUUUUGGACAAUGGGCGCAAGCCUGAUCCAGCCAUGCCGCGUGCAGGAUGAAGGCCCUCGGGUUGUAAACUGCUUUUGUACGGAACGAAAAGCCUCUUUCUAAUAAAGAGGGGUGAUGACGGUACCGUAAGAAUAAGCACCGGCUAACUACGUGCCAGCAGCCGCGGUAAUACGUAGGGUGCGAGCGUUAAUCGGAAUUACUGGGCGUAAAGCGUGCGCAGGCGGUCUUGCAAGACAGUGGUGAAAUCCCCGGGCUCAACCUGGGAACUGCCAUUGUGACUGCAAGGCUGGAGUACGGCAGAGGGGGAUGGAAUUCCGCGUGUAGCAGUGAAAUGCGUAGAUAUGCGGAGGAACACCUAUGGCGAAGGCAGUCCCCUGGGCCAGUACUGACGCUCAUGCACGAAAGCGUGGGGAGCAAACA
Molecule: ribosomal RNA, 427 nt
Filed under: uncultured bacterium
Lineage: Bacteria
Description: bacterial SSU rRNA
Rfam family: Bacterial small subunit ribosomal RNA
Source: RNAcentral